GACGAACGCUGCGCGGCGCCUAACACAUGCAAGUCGAACGAGCGAGAGGAGAGGCUUAGGCUUUCUCGAGCGAGUGGCGAACGGGUGAGUAACGCGUGAGGAACCUGCCUCAAAGAGGGGGACAACAGUUGGAAACGACUGCUAAUACCGCAUGACAAUAGGGUACACAUGUACCCUAUUUAAAAGGGGCAAACGCUUCACUAUGAGAUGGACCUGCGUUGUAUUAGCUAGUUGGUAAGGUAACGGCUUACCAAGGCGACGAUACAUAGCCGACCUGAGAGGGUGAUCGGCCACACUGGGACUGAGACACGGCCCAG
Molecule: ribosomal RNA, 317 nt
Filed under: uncultured bacterium
Lineage: Bacteria
Description: bacterial SSU rRNA
Rfam family: Bacterial small subunit ribosomal RNA
Source: RNAcentral